UUACAUCAAUCAAUAUUCAAUAAUUUCUAUCUCUUCGUAUCCAAUUUCUCCGGAGUUUCAACUGAAUUUUUUAAAAAUAUAAAACACAGACAGAAAUGUCAUUAUAAAAUAACAAAUUAUAAUCGAAUUCUCCCAGAAUGUAUUUUCUACGUCAGAGUAUAUUAUGGUAUAAAUUUUUCUCUGUCUCGCAGAAAUUGAAUGAUAAAACAACGAAAGACAAUUGCAGCUGAAAAAUAGUCAUUGUAGAAUUCCUGAGUUGACGACAAUUGAUAGGAUUGAGUGCCAUGAUAUCUUGUAUCGUCCUGAGAUUACGUAUGAAAAAGAUCGAAUAAAUGUGUGCGUAAACGAGUGUGAUACAACAAUCAGUGAAGUUUAUGUUUGAUUUUUAUUGAUGCGGUUGCAGUCACUGUUUGUAUAUUAAAUGGCAUGUUUGUGAAAGCAGUUUGCCAGACAGGCUGACUGUAACUGAGCACUUGGAGAUACCCACAAGAUGCUGCUGCCCACCAUAACGACCACUUGAGCACGUGGAAGCUAGUGUUUUGCCUGAUGGCCUUUCAAGGCGACAGAUGACUCCACUCCAGAGUCAAUUGUUCGUUUUGCAGAACUGGAGUCUGA
This is a long non-coding RNA of Fopius arisanus, 615 nucleotides long. RefSeq lists it as uncharacterized. The record is from RefSeq and is a predicted model, not a curated record. Lineage: Eukaryota; Metazoa; Arthropoda; Insecta; Hymenoptera; Braconidae. The transcript is spliced from 3 exons.